This 520-nucleotide long non-coding RNA is filed under the name Mus caroli (Ryukyu mouse). Its description in RNAcentral is "lncRNA (MGP_CAROLIEiJ_G0005939.1)". The stretch from base 56 to 185 matches the Rfam family "Small nucleolar RNA SNORA61". Lineage: Eukaryota; Metazoa; Chordata; Mammalia; Rodentia; Muridae. The record is from RNAcentral.
AGACAGCCUGUCAGGCUCCUAACACCAAGGUAACUUUGCUGGCUAAGACAGCCUGACCCUCCGGUUUCCCUUUCCCAUCGGAUCUUGACACUGGUCUUGGUGGUCGUUAAGGAGGAAGAAUACCCUGAAGCUGGCCUCACAGCGAUGCAGUCUGCUGUAGAGCAGCAGGCCAGACUCAGACAUAUAUGCCUGGGCUUUGUGAAGUGGGAAAACUUAAGAACUGGUCAGUGUUUCUGAAUACUGGCUUACUUCCAUGGUUUUUUUUUUUUUUUUUUAAGGGCCAUGUAACCUGUGAAGCAGCCAUUAUACAUGAUUUGGUCUACACUUGCUGGAAAAAAUCUACAAGAGGAUCCGGAAGCUAGCCGACAUUUUUGGCUAGUACAUAGCCAGGCAGCCAUUGGAAUCAGAGCUGCAGACAGAUUAAGGCCAGCCUGGCCUACAUUGAGAAACCUCAUUUUGGAAAAGUGGAAUAAUCUGUAAAUUAACAUGCAGUUGGUUCAAUAAAGACUUUUGGAAAGUA